This 2817-nucleotide ribosomal RNA is filed under the name Staphylococcus aureus subsp. aureus CIG149. RNAcentral's name for it is "bacterial LSU rRNA". It matches the Rfam family "Bacterial large subunit ribosomal RNA". Lineage: Bacteria; Bacillati; Bacillota; Bacilli; Caryophanales; Staphylococcaceae. The record is from RNAcentral.
AGGGCGCACGGUGGAUGCCUUGGCACUAGAAGCCGAUGAAGGACGUUACUAACGACGAUAUGCUUUGGGGAGCUGUAAGUAAGCUUUGAUCCAGAGAUUUCCGAAUGGGGAAACCCAGCAUGAGUUAUGUCAUGUUAUCGAUAUGUGAAUACAUAGCAUAUCAGAAGGCACACCCGGAGAACUGAAACAUCUUAGUACCCGGAGGAAGAGAAAGAAAAUUCGAUUCCCUUAGUAGCGGCGAGCGAAACGGGAAGAGCCCAAACCAACAAGCUUGCUUGUUGGGGUUGUAGGACACUCUAUACGGAGUUACAAAAGGACGACAUUAGACGAAUCAUCUGGAAAGAUGAAUCAAAGAAGGUAAUAAAUCCUGUAGUCGAAAAUGUUGUCUCUCUUGAGUGGAUCCUGAGUACGACGGAGCACGUGAAAUUCCGUCGGAAUCUGGGAGGACCAUCUCCUAAGGCUAAAUACUCUCUAGUGACCGAUAGUGAACCAGUACCGUGAGGGAAAGGUGAAAAGCACCCCGGAAGGGGAGUGAAAUAGAACCUGAAACCGUGUGCUUACAAGUAGUCAGAGCCCGUUAAUGGGUGAUGGCGUGCCUUUUGUAGAAUGAACCGGCGAGUUACGAUUUGAUGCAAGGUUAAGCAGUAAAUGUGGAGCCGUAGCGAAAGCGAGUCUGAAUAGGGCGUUUAGUAUUUGGUCGUAGACCCGAAACCAGGUGACCUACCCUUGGUCAGGUUGAAGUUCAGGUAACACUGAAUGGAGGACCGAACCGACUUACGUUGAAAAGUGAGCGGAUGAACUGAGGGUAGCGGAGAAAUUCCAAUCGAACCUGGAGAUAGCUGGUUCUCUCCGAAAUAGCUUUAGGGCUAGCCUCAAGUGAUGAUUAUUGGAGGUAGAGCACUGUUUGGACGAGGGGCCCCUCUCGGGUUACCGAAUUCAGACAAACUCCGAAUGCCAAUUAAUUUAACUUGGGAGUCAGAACAUGGGUGAUAAGGUCCGUGUUCGAAAGGGAAACAGCCCAGACCACCAGCUAAGGUCCCAAAAUAUAUGUUAAGUGGAAAAGGAUGUGGCGUUGCCCAGACAACUAGGAUGUUGGCUUAGAAGCAGCCAUCAUUUAAAGAGUGCGUAAUAGCUCACUAGUCGAGUGACACUGCGCCGAAAAUGUACCGGGGCUAAACAUAUUACCGAAGCUGUGGAUUGUCCUUUGGACAAUGGUAGGAGAGCGUUCUAAGGGCGUUGAAGCAUGAUCGUAAGGACAUGUGGAGCGCUUAGAAGUGAGAAUGCCGGUGUGAGUAGCGAAAGACGGGUGAGAAUCCCGUCCACCGAUUGACUAAGGUUUCCAGAGGAAGGCUCGUCCGCUCUGGGUUAGUCGGGUCCUAAGCUGAGGCCGACAGGCGUAGGCGAUGGAUAACAGGUUGAUAUUCCUGUACCACCUAUAAUCGUUUUAAUCGAUGGGGGGACGCAGUAGGAUAGGCGAAGCGUGCGAUUGGAUUGCACGUCUAAGCAGUAAGGCUGAGUAUUAGGCAAAUCCGGUACUCAUUAAGGCUGAGCUGUGAUGGGGAGAAGACAUUGUGUCUUCGAGUCGUUGAUUUCACACUGCCGAGAAAAGCCUCUAGAUAGAAAAUAGGUCGCCCGUACCGCAAACCGACACAGGUAGUCAAGAUGAGAAUUCUAAGGUGAGCGAGCGAACUCUCGUUAAGGAACUCGGCAAAAUGACCCCGUAACUUCGGGAGAAGGGGUGCUCUUUAGGGUUAACGCCCAGAAGAGCCGCAGUGAAUAGGCCCAAGCGACUGUUUAUCAAAAACACAGGUCUCUGCUAAACCGUAAGGUGAUGUAUAGGGGCUGACGCCUGCCCGGUGCUGGAAGGUUAAGAGGAGUGGUUAGCUUCUGCGAAGCUACGAAUCGAAGCCCCAGUAAACGGCGGCCGUAACUAUAACGGUCCUAAGGUAGCGAAAUUCCUUGUCGGGUAAGUUCCGACCCGCACGAAAGGCGUAACGAUUUGGGCACUGUCUCAACGAGAGACUCGGUGAAAUCAUAGUACCUGUGAAGAUGCAGGUUACCCGCGACAGGACGGAAAGACCCCGUGGAGCUUUACUGUAGCCUGAUAUUGAAAUUCGGCACAGCUUGUACAGGAUAGGUAGGAGCCUUUGAAACGUGAGCGCUAGCUUACGUGGAGGCGCUGGUGGGAUACUACCCUAGCUGUGUUGGCUUUCUAACCCGCACCACUUAUCGUGGUGGGAGACAGUGUCAGGCGGGCAGUUUGACUGGGGCGGUCGCCUCCUAAAAGGUAACGGAGGCGCUCAAAGGUUCCCUCAGAAUGGUUGGAAAUCAUUCAUAGAGUGUAAAGGCAUAAGGGAGCUUGACUGCGAGACCUACAAGUCGAGCAGGGUCGAAAGACGGACUUAGUGAUCCGGUGGUUCCGCAUGGAAGGGCCAUCGCUCAACGGAUAAAAGCUACCCCGGGGAUAACAGGCUUAUCUCCCCCAAGAGUUCACAUCGACGGGGAGGUUUGGCACCUCGAUGUCGGCUCAUCGCAUCCUGGGGCUGUAGUCGGUCCCAAGGGUUGGGCUGUUCGCCCAUUAAAGCGGUACGCGAGCUGGGUUCAGAACGUCGUGAGACAGUUCGGUCCCUAUCCGUCGUGGGCGUAGGAAAUUUGAGAGGAGCUGCCUUAGUACGAGAGGACCGGGAUGGACAUACCUCUGGUGUACCAGUUGUCGUGCCAACGGCAUAGCUGGGUAGCUAUGUGUGGACGGGAUAAGUGCUGAAAGCAUCUAAGCAUGAAGCCCCCCUCAAGAUGAGAUUUCCCAACUUCGGUUAU